UAAAGUCACAAACUCUAGGCCCCACCCUUUAUCUCUCUGUCCCCGGCUUCACCCGGCGUUCCUACCCAGGGCCGGGGCGUGGCGAUGAAGGGCGGGCGAGAUCUUAAGCUGGUCCCCGGCGGAGCAGGUGAGACCCGUUCGGAGGGGAUGGAAAGUGACCAAAGGACUUCUGCCUGGAGGGGUUGGCCUUGGUGAGGGAGCCGGGGAAGGUAUGGGACCAGCAAUACGGAGGCCGCUGCCCCGCGUGCGACCUCGGUCAGAGUACUCGUACCUGUCACACUGGGGUGGAUGCCAGCCCUUCGCCCCUGCAGACCGGCCACUGGCUCCAGCCUGGCCCCUGGCUCCAGCCUACACCCCGUGCCGCCCUGGGCGCCUCCAACGCCACCUCCGGAGCGGCGAGUUCGACCAGCUGCGUGACUUUCCCAUCUUUGAAAGCAACUUCGUGCAGGUGACCCGGUUUGGAGAAGUCGCCAACAAGGUCACCAUGGGGGUGGCAGCCUCUAGUCCUGCCCUGGAGCUGCCAGAUCUGCUGCUGCUGGCCGGCCCCGACAAGGAGAAUGGACACCUGCAGCUCCUCGGGCUGUUUCCCUUACAAUUUGUGCAGCUGUUUGUACAUGAUGUAAGCCGCCAGCAGCUCAAGGUCAAGUUCCUAACUGGCCGUGCCUUCUACUUGCAAUUGCGCUCUCCGCCAGAGACCCGCGACUGCGAGUUUGGCCGUUGGGUGCGGCUUCUCUACCGCCUGCGAUUCCACUCGCCCACCUGCGCAGUGCCCUUCACGAACGCGGACGCAGUGUCUGAGGAGGAUGAGGAUGAGGAUGAGGUCGAGGAAGGGCCGUUGCAGCCCCCGGAGGUGAGGGCGGGACCUCGAGCCCAGGGAUGUUGGGCCAGGAAGGAUGGAAAGGGACCAGGGGUUCUAAGGAGAAGGCUAUAGGGUCUGCAACAGACUAGGGACUGUGUGCCCUAAAAGAGAAUACACGGCCCUCUCCAGCCUCUGCUUGGCACCAAGCGGGCUCUAGCAAGCGAAGCCUACUCACUGCGGGGUGGGCUACCCCUGGCUAUACAUAUCCAGUUCCCUGAAAGGGGAGCAGGGAAGACAGUUGUGGAAGAUGUACACUCUUCUUAGUUUCAAGCCACAGAGGCCAGACUCGACCCGCAGGUCUCAGAACUCUGGGGGCUCUGACUCAGACAAGAUCCUUCCAGAUCG
Molecule: RNA transcript, 1204 nt
Organism: Mastomys coucha (southern multimammate mouse)
Lineage: Eukaryota; Metazoa; Chordata; Mammalia; Rodentia; Muridae
Gene: Garin5a
Gene name: family with sequence similarity 71 member E1
Exons: 5
Source: RefSeq, a predicted model, not a curated record